Non-coding RNA from Microcebus murinus (gray mouse lemur), 3018 nucleotides. The record is from RefSeq and is a predicted model, not a curated record. Lineage: Eukaryota; Metazoa; Chordata; Mammalia; Primates; Cheirogaleidae.
UUACAGGCGUGAGCCACCGCACCUGGCCCAACUUUCUGUUUUUUUCAUUUCUGUAUGAUUUGAAAUUUCUCACUGUAUAAAUGGCAAGACAUGUUGCUGAAUGUUGAAGGAGCUAUUUCCAUGAUCAGAAAAAAAAAAAACAAAAAAAACCAACAGAAAAUAGUAGUAAUAGUAGCCAUUCCCCUGUCUAAGCAAUUCCUCUAGGCAAUGAUCCCAUUUCAUUGUGAGGUUAUUGUUUUUUCUUUGAUUACCUUUUUCUUUUGGGAAAAGUUACAAAGCCAGUAUGGGGAGUUCCCAUAUACCUCUCACAGUUUACCCACGGCUGGCAUUUUGACAUCACCAUGGGACAUUAGACAUGACUAAAACAACAGUGGUUCCUCACUAUUAACCAAACUCCAGACUUUAUAUUUGGAUUUUACCAGUUUCUCUACUAAUACCCAUUUUCUGUUCCAGGAUCCACUCCAGGGUUCCAGACCCGAUUUCCCCUGCUAGGAACAUCUUACACAAGGAGGGAGCCUGUGUCACAAUUAAUGAGCUGACAUGGAUCCCUUGUUAGUAACGACAGCCGGUGUUUCAUUCGGCUUUCCUUCAUUUUUCCCCAAUGUCCUUUUCUGUUCCAGGGCCCCAUGUCUCCUUAGGCCCCUCUGGGCUUGACUUUCCUUGUCUAGGAUCACCUUAACACUUUCAAGGAGUGCUGCUCAGAUAUUUUGCACAAUGGUGCAGAUGAGCAUUGCACUGCAGUGGUCAUUCCACUGGAACUUGUCUUAUGCCUUUCCCAUGUGUAAGACAUGGUGUUCCAUGUUUGGGGAGGAAGACUGCAGGGGAGAAGGGCCCCUCUGCUCGCUCUCUGUCCAGGGCACGUGCUCUCGAGAUGACCCAACGUGACCACCUGGCUGGGCAGCGUUCAUCAAUUUCCAGUCCUGCAGAGUUUCUCUUUCUUCCCUCUUGGCUGCUGUGCUCUUUGUGAAGAGGUCACUGUGCACAACCCCCGUGUACGGGACGGGCGACUGCACUCCACCUCUUUGAGAGCAGAGAAUCGACAUCGGUUAUUGGAAUUCUUUCUUUCCUCUCAUUUAUUUAUAGCAGCGUGGACUCAUGGAUAUUGUAUUCUCUGGGGUACAGCCCAGUACCACAGUAUGUGUUGCUCAGAUUGCCCCAGCUCUGGCCACAGGGGUUGGGGGGGCGGCUCUUUCAGUGGGCCCCUGUGUCCCUUUGACCUGCCCCUUCAUUGCGAGCCGCUGGGCACAUCCCUGGGUCCCAGCACUGCGAGAUGCUCCGGGCUCAUCGUGUGCAUUUCCUGUCCCAGACCUAGAGCCAGCCAUUUCUCCAAGGUUCAUGUUAUUGGAGGAGGGUGUUAGAAACCAAGAUCUGGGCGCUAGGUGUGCUCACGGCUACGGGGUGCUCUUGCUUCUUGGCUGUUUUCGCUGAUGGAGCAAGGAAAUCCGUGUGUGUGCUAAGCUGUGUAGGUGCACGUAUCUGUAAAUGCUUCUGUAUGUAAUCAUCCGUGUCGCUCAGCACGUGUUCAUACUGAGGUCUCCAACUCCGAUCCGUGGUAAUCACGUGGCGCCUCCCCCUGCUUAACCGUAACAGUGGGAAACCCAGGUCCUGCCACGACCGUGUAUUUAAUUGUUCCCAUCUAGUGUACGUGUAUAGCGGUUUUAGAGUUGCUAACCUUUGCCUCUGGCACUUUUCCAUCCAUUCGUUUGUUCAGUUACUAUCUGUCGACUGCCCUCUGUGCUGGGCACUGUUCUGAGCCCAGCAAACAAAAGAAAGAUCCCCGCCCUCAUGGAGUUUUUGUCCCAGCACGGGAGAUGGACAGACACCAAGCGUGAUAGAUAAGCACAUGGUAUAGUAUGUUGAAAGGAAAACAGAAAAAGUAGGGCAGGGCAAGGACAACUGGAGGUGGCUGGGGUGAGGAGCAGUUCAGGGUGAUCGGGGCAGGCCUUGUGGAGAAGGUGCAUCUGGCCAGAUCCUGAGAGCAGUGAGGGAGUUAGUCGUGAGGAUAUCAGGGAAGAGUGCGCCAGGCAGGGGUACAGCAUGUGCAAAGGCCCUGGGGUGGGGAUCUUCUGCUAUGUUCAAAUAACAGUGGGGAGGCCAAAGUGGGGGGAGCAGAGAGGAGAGGGGCGGUAGGAGAUGAGGUGGCAGAGGGGUUGGGGCCCACAUCGUGGAUGCCUUUGUCUGCCUUCUAAGGACUUGACUUUACUCUGAAUAAGAUGGGACUGUAAGAGUGGCAUUUGUUCUCUGUGUUAAGGGCCCCCCGCUGCUGCGCUAAGAAGAACGUCGGGGCAGAGGGGGUGGCGGGAGCCUAGCGAGGAGGCAGUGACUGUCAGCAGCAACAACAGAGAAUGAAAAAUAGAUGAGGAGACAGAGGAGACGGCGGGUUGAAAAAGAACCGAUAGACCAUGGAUCCCGGCGCACUUCUGCGACGCACGCGCAGCCGCAAGGUCCUCAAUACAGACACAAGCGAGAUGGUUCACGUUCCUCUCUCUGCACCAAGUCCUCUACAUGCCGGGUGUCUUUCGCCCUCACGGCACGUCCUGAUUCGGAUCCACCACUUGCAAGUCCUCAGCGGCCACCUGUGGCUCCUGGCUCUGCAGUGCACAGCGCAGCCCAGAUGACCUCACGUGGACGAGCAAAGGCUCAGCUGUGACAGACUCGUCUCAGCUCUGCUGGUGACAACUGCACAGUGGGAGCCAGCCUGGCUGCCCGCAAACUGGGGCCAGUCCCUGGGAACGCUGCGAGGGGCGGCUCCGAGGGCACCAGCGGGGAGGGUAGCCUCGGCCAGUUUCUGAGAACUGCUUUGCACUUUAAAACCCAUGAAGGGAAACAUUCCUUUUGAGUGUAGUUAUUUAUUUAAAUGAAUGGACUUUAUUUUUUUAGAACAGUAUUAGCUUUACAGAGAAUACCCAGAAGUCCGCUUCUCCCUCUGCCUCAGUUUCCCCUAUUAUUAACAUCAGGCAUGAAUGUGGUUCAUGUGUUACAAUUGAUGGAUCAAUAUUUUUUUUUUUUGAGACAGAG